Molecule: long non-coding RNA, 294 nt
Organism: Odocoileus virginianus texanus
Lineage: Eukaryota; Metazoa; Chordata; Mammalia; Artiodactyla; Cervidae
Source: RefSeq, a predicted model, not a curated record
AGGAAGGGACAUGCUACAUGUUAACUUCGGAAAAGGACAAAUGUUUAAGUCAUAAAGCUUUUACACGAAGAUGGAGCUCAAUCUUGUACGCUUUCCACCCAGUCCACCCCAUCUCACAAUAUGUUGGCAGUUCACCUACAUGUAUGUCAUAUGCCAUUCCUCUUUACGGCUGAAUAAAACUCCCCUGGAUGGAUGCACCAUAGUGGAUUUAUCCAUUUACCAGUUGAUGGGCAUCUGCACUGUUUGCACUUUUAGGGUGUUCUGAAUAAAUCAGCUAAGAGCAUUCAAGUACAA